This 667-nucleotide long non-coding RNA is filed under the name Homo sapiens (human). Its description in RNAcentral is "HSALNT0356592". Lineage: Eukaryota; Metazoa; Chordata; Mammalia; Primates; Hominidae. The record is from RNAcentral.
AGAGGGCCUUGAGGCUCCUGGGUGAUGGGGAAAGCCCGCAGGAAGACACAAAUUUGCCACAGAUAAUCCACAAAGUGAAUACUCCAUAAGUGGUAACUAAGAAUGAAGUGUAAAAUAAAACCUCUACAACUCCAAGAUCACAAAAGCAGGCUAUACCAAGACGGGAAAUUCUAGUUCUACAUAAAAUGAUACGUUAAGAGACCUAAGUCCCUAAGAAUGGGGUUUUUAAACAAAAGUGCCCCCUGAACCCGAUCAUACUAGAACAAAUGUGAUGCUAUUAUUUUAUGAAAGUUCUCAUUUUGGGGGGAGACAAACACAAAAGGCUUAAUGAUUCCUAGGAAUGGAUUGAUAAUACAAGAUUGUUUUUUGAGUUGCUAGGCAACACUGAAAAACAAAUGUCGAUGUUCUGAGAUCACAGCUUGGUUGUUCUCCCAUGGGCAGGACCAGUGCUACCCGGCCUUCCUGCACUCCAUUGGAGAACAGGAGUGGUACAGAGCCACUGCGAUGCUGAGUCCACAGUGGCAACAGACACCAACUGGCAUCUCCAUGAAAAGUCACAACUGACCGCCUGGCUGCCAAGAUCUUUGGUACAUUACCCCCUUUUCCCCUACCGGUCUCAUUAAAGCCCCAUUCACCCCUAAGAGUGAUUUUGACAUCUGGGAAAGUA